AGCUAUUGCUGAGUAUGUACAGCUGCACAAAAGGAGGAGGACAGAGCACCAUACAGAGUGAUGGGGUGGACAUGAAAUGCAAUCACUGUGAGGACAUGAGGACACCUGAUACUGGCAAGAAGUAACUAAAGGUCCUUGGAAGUUGCUCUUGGUGGCUGCCUGCCUACAGUCAAGUCUUCAAACAGGUCUGGAGUUGAAUUUUGAGCAUUUGUACAACAGCAAUCCAAACCUCUAAACAGCUGAUUUCCAUCAGAGGUUACAAAUGCAGGGGGGAAACAGGGCAGACCAGUCAACAAGACAAGGUGGAAUCAAAGACAUGGACAGCGGUAAAAGAACUUCUGGAUUGCAGGCUACCAGACCACCUGAACAUGGUUCCACACUUACCUUGACAUACCUC
This is a long non-coding RNA of Protopterus annectens (West African lungfish), 397 nucleotides long. RefSeq lists it as uncharacterized. The transcript has 5 exons. NCBI's taxonomy places the organism in Eukaryota, Metazoa, Chordata, Ceratodontiformes, Protopteridae. The record is from RefSeq and is a predicted model, not a curated record.